This 429-nucleotide ribosomal RNA is filed under the name bacterium. RNAcentral describes it as "partial 16S ribosomal RNA". It matches the Rfam family "Bacterial small subunit ribosomal RNA", at positions 355 to 776 of the family's 1533-position model. The record is from RNAcentral.
UAGGGAAUCUUCGGCAAUGGGGGCAACCCUGACCGAGCAACGCCGCGUGAGUGAAGAAGGUUUUCGGAUCGUAAAGCUCUGUUGUAAGAGAAGAACGUGUGUGAGAGUGGAAAGUUCACACAGUGACGGUAACUUACCAGAAAGGGACGGCUAACUACGUGCCAGCAGCCGCGGUAAUACGUAGGUCCCGAGCGUUGUCCGGAUUUAUUGGGCGUAAAGCGAGCGCAGGCGGUUUAAUAAGUCUGCAGUUAAAGGCAGUGCCGUAACACUUGUUCGCUGUGGAAACUGUUAAACUUGAGUGCAGAAGGGGAGAGUGGCAGUCCAUGUGUAGUGGUGAAAUGCGUAGUUGUAUGGAGGAACACCAGUGGCGAAGGCGGCUCUCUGGUCUGUAGCUGACGCUGAGGCUCGAAAGCGUGGGGAGCAGACAGG